Molecule: non-coding RNA, 363 nt
Organism: Peromyscus maniculatus bairdii (prairie deer mouse)
Lineage: Eukaryota; Metazoa; Chordata; Mammalia; Rodentia; Cricetidae
Source: RefSeq, a predicted model, not a curated record
GGGAAUAGUGUUACUAUUCCCACUACAGCCCAGAUGAAGGCGCGGAGCAAUUAGCCUCGUGUCUCCAUGUUGCUCAACUAUUCUUGGGGUAGCAGAACUUGAACCCAAAUCUGCAUGACCCUAAGUUUCCAGGUCCAGGGCUCUGAGAGGAAAACCAAACAGAAGAGGCCCCCCCCUAGCAAGACUGAAGACACAGCAGGUUGUCAAGGGGAGGAUGGAAAUUGGCAGACUAAGCACAAGCUGCAUAAACCCAGGAGAAGGUCCACAUUUACAUCCCAGUCCUGGCUAACCACUGUUAAAACCCAACUGGAAAUUAUCAGGGGGCCCUUCUGAAAUGAAUAUCCUAUUUAAUGAGAAGAAAAG